This is a non-coding RNA of Cherax quadricarinatus, 1599 nucleotides long. Lineage: Eukaryota; Metazoa; Arthropoda; Malacostraca; Decapoda; Parastacidae. The record is from RefSeq and is a predicted model, not a curated record.
GAGCGCGGGAGCGCCAUCCUCCCCCACUAGCUCCCAGAAGAUCUUGGAAGGAGGGUACCUGCUGCUGCGGAAGGCUGCUCCUCACCCCCUCCCCUGGUGAUGCUGCUGUACCAACUGCAUCUACACUUGAGAAAGACACUCGGUACUACUUAGUGCACCUAACGCAAGGUUGGUGAAUAUCUUAAGAGAUUUUGAUUUUUCGUCUUUGACCUACGACCAUCUUUUCAUUGUCCUGGCUCUUUGUGAUCCGUACGCGAUGAAUGCAUUUUUUUUUUUUUUCGAAUUUUUAAUGUAAUAAUUUGAAGCAUUUGGUCUUGUGUGUAAUAAACAUUUUGGAAAGGAUAAAGGGAGCCCUUCACCCAAAGGGCUGCCAUCACCCUGGGUAGCCCUAAGGGCUGCUGCCACCCUGGGUAGCCCUAACAGCUGCCAUCACCCUGGGUAGCCCUAACGGCUGCCAUCACCAUGGGUAGCCCUAACGAUUGACCAAACUGGGUAGUCCUAACGGCUACCAACACCCUUGGUAGCCCUAACUUCUGCCAACUCCCUUGGUAGCCCUAACGGCUGCCAACACCCUUGGUAGCCCUAACUGCUGCCAACACUCUUGAUUGCCCUAACGACUGCCAACACUCUUUGUAGCCCUAACCGCUGCCAGCACCCUUGGUAGCCCUAACGACUGCCAACACCCUUCGUACCCCUAACGGCUGCCAACACCCUUCGUACUCCUAACGGCUACCAUCACCCGUUAACCAUAACGGCUGCCAGCACCCUAGGUAAUCCUAAAGGCUGCCAGCACCCUAGAUAGCCCUAAAGGCUGCCAGCACCCUGGGCAGCGUAAAAAGGCCCUGACAGCUGCCACCACCAUGGUAGCUUAAUGAAAAGGUCUUUAUGGCUUGAUAGCCCAAACGCCUGACAUCACCCUGGUAGCUUUAAAAGGUCUGCUAUACUGGCUAGCCCUAAUGACUACAUUUAUGUAUUUUCUUCCACAUAACCAUUUUAAAAAUUUGCAGCCUACCAUGAUUAAUCUGGUAAUUGAUUUCUGAUUACUCUUUCCAUUACUGAUUUGUUCAGUCCCUCAUUCCAGCAUUGUCAAUGUCUAGCUUACAAUUUUAAUGUUAAAUAUUUUUUACAGAUUUGCUAUGUACAUUUGAGCUCUUUAUUUUUGUAUAAUAAAUGUAUUUAAAAAAAAAAUUUCCCGUGCAUAAAAAUAUUUAAUUGUAAUAUAGAAAACAUUGAUACUAUGUGCAGUAAUUAUUUUCAUUUUGUAACCAAAAUAUUGAAGAUUUAAUUUUGUAACUAAAUAUUGGAGAUUUAAUGUUUGUUUCUUGGUUUAUUUUUGCUUAUGAUCUCAAAUACAGCUGCAUCGUUUACCUUUGAGCUUAAAAUACUCAUUUCUUUCAGCCCCUUAAAUAUUUUUCUCUUUCAGCUCAACAUGUCAUUAUGUUUGGUAAACAUUUUUUUUUCUUUCAGCUUUAAUCCAGUUUUUUCAGCUUAAUCCGUUUUUCUUUCACCUUAAUCUGUUUUCUUUCAGCUUGAUCUGUUUUUCUUUCAGCGUAUACCAUUUUCAGCUUAAUUUUUCUUUCGGCCUAAUUCAUUUUUCUU